CACACUAUCAUUAACUGAAUCCAUAGGUUAAUGAGGCGAACCGGGGGAACUGAAACAUCUAAGUACCCCGAGGAAAAGAAAUCAACCGAGAUUCCCCCAGUAGCGGCGAGCGAACGGGGAGGAGCCCAGAGCCUGAAUCAGUGUGUGUGUUAGUGGAAGCGUCUGGAAAGGCGCGCGAUACAGGGUGACAGCCCCGUACACAAAAAUGCACAUGCUGUGAGCUCGAUGAGUAGGGCGGGACACGUGGUAUCCUGUCUGAAUAUGGGGGGACCAUCCUCCAAGGCUAAAUACUCCUGACUGACCGAUAGUGAACCAGUACCGUGAGGGAAAGGCGAAAAGAACCCCGGCGAGGGGAGUGAAAAAGAACCUGAAACCGUGUACGUACAAGCAGUGGGAGCCUCUUUAUGGGGUGACUGCGUACCUUUUGUAUAAUGGGUCAGCGACUUAUAUUCUGUAGCAAGGUUAACCGAAUAGGGGAGCCGAAGGGAAACCGAGUCUUAACUGGGCGUUAAGUUGCAGGGUAUAGACCCGAAACCCGGUGAUCUAGCCAUGGGCAGGUUGAAGGUUGGGUAACACUAACUGGAGGACCGAACCGACUAAUGUUGAAAAAUUAGCGGAUGACUUGUGGCUGGGGGUGAAAGGCCAAUCAAACCGGGAGAUAGCUGGUUCUCCCCGAAAGCUAUUUAGGUAGCGCCUCGUGAAUUCAUCUCCGGGGGUAGAGCACUGUUUCGGCAAGGGGGUCAUCCCGACUUACCAACCCGAUGCAAACUGCGAAUACCGGAGAAUGUUAUCACGGGAGACACACGGCGGGUGCUAACGUCCGUCGUGAAGAGGGAAACAACCCAGACCGCCAGCUAAGGUCCCAAAGUCAUGGUUAAGUGGGAAACGAUGUGGGAAGGCCCAGACAGCCAGGAUGUUGGCUUAGAAGCAGCCAUCAUUUAAAGAAAGCGUAAUAGCUCACUGGUCGAGUCGGCCUGCGCGGAAGAUGUAACGGGGCUAAACCAUGCACCGAAGCUGCGGCAGCGACACUAAGUGUUGUUGGGUAGGGGAGCGUUCUGUAAGCCUGUGAAGGUGUACUGUGAGGUAUGCUGGAGGUAUCAGAAGUGCGAAUGCUGACAUAAGUAACGAUAAAGCGGGUGAAAAGCCCGCUCGCCGGAAGACCAAGGGUUCCUGUCCAACGUUAAUCGGGGCAGGGUGAGUCGACCCCUAAGGCGAGGCCGAAAGGCGUAGUCGAUGGGAAACAGGUUAAUAUUCCUGUACUUGGUGUUACUGCGAAGGGGGGACGGAGAAGGCUAUGUUGGCCGGGCGACGGUUGUCCCGGUUUAAGCGUGUAGGCUGGUUUUCCAGGCAAAUCCGGAAAAUCAAGGCUGAGGCGUGAUGACGAGGCACUACGGUGCUGAAGCAACAAAUGCCCUGCUUCCAGGAAAAGCCUCUAAGCAUCAGGUAACAUCAAAUCGUACCCCAAACCGACACAGGUGGUCAGGUAGAGAAUACCAAGGCGCUUGAGAGAACUCGGGUGAAGGAACUAGGCAAAAUGGUGCCGUAACUUCGGGAGAAGGCACGCUGAUAUGUAGGUGAAGCGACUUGCUCGUGGAGCUGAAAUCAGUCGAAGAUACCAGCUGGCUGCAACUGUUUAUUAAAAACACAGCACUGUGCAAACACGAAAGUGGACGUAUACGGUGUGACGCCUGCCCGGUGCCGGAAGGUUAAUUGAUGGGGUUAGCGCAAGCGAAGCUCUUGAUCGAAGCCCCGGUAAACGGCGGCCGUAACUAUAACGGUCCUAAGGUAGCGAAAUUCCUUGUCGGGUAAGUUCCGACCUGCACGAAUGGCGUAAUGAUGGCCAGGCUGUCUCCACCCGAGACUCAGUGAAAUUGAACUCGCUGUGAAGAUGCAGUGUACCCGCGGCAAGACGGAAAGACCCCGUGAACCUUUACUAUAGCUUGACACUGAACAUUGAGCCUUGAUGUGUAGGAUAGGUGGGAGGCUUUGAAGUGUGGACGCCAGUCUGCAUGGAGCCGACCUUGAAAUACCACCCUUUAAUGUUUGAUGUUCUAACGUUGGCCCCUGAUCGGGGUUGCGGACAGUGUCUGGUGGGUAGUUUGACUGGGGCGGUCUCCUCCUAAAGAGUAACGGAGGAGCACGAAGGUUGGCUAAUCCUGGUCGGACAUCAGGAGGUUAGUGCAAUGGCAUAAGCCAGCUUGACUGCGAGCGUGACGGCGCGAGCAGGUGCGAAAGCAGGUCAUAGUGAUCCGGUGGUUCUGAAUGGAAGGGCCAUCGCUCAACGGAUAAAAGGUACUCCGGGGAUAACAGGCUGAUACCGCCCAAGAGUUCAUAUCGACGGCGGUGUUUGGCACCUCGAUGUCGGCUCAUCACAUCCUGGGGCUGAAGUAGGUCCCAAGGGUAUGGCUGUUCGCCAUUUAAAGUGGUACGCGAGCUGGGUUUAGAACGUCGUGAGACAGUUCGGUCCCUAUCUGCCGUGGGCGCUGGAGAACUGAGGGGGGCUGCUCCUAGUACGAGAGGACCGGAGUGGACGCAUCACUGGUGUUCGGGUUGUCAUGCCAAUGGCACUGCCCGGUAGCUAAAUGCGGAAGAGAUAAGUGCUGAAAGCAUCUAAGCACGAAACUUGCCCCGAGAUGAGUUCUCCCUGACUCCUUGAGAGUCCUGAAGGAACGUUGAAGACGACGACGUUGAUAGGCCGGGUGUGUAAGCGCAGCGAUGCGUUGAGCUAACCGGUACUAAUGAACCGUGAGGCUUAACCUUACAACGCCGAAG
This 2772-nucleotide ribosomal RNA is filed under the name Escherichia coli. RNAcentral's name for it is "partial 23S ribosomal RNA". It matches the Rfam family "Bacterial large subunit ribosomal RNA". The record is from RNAcentral. Lineage: Bacteria; Pseudomonadati; Pseudomonadota; Gammaproteobacteria; Enterobacterales; Enterobacteriaceae.